RNAcentral lists this ribosomal RNA (253 nucleotides) under uncultured bacterium. Its description in RNAcentral is "partial 16S ribosomal RNA". It matches the Rfam family "Bacterial small subunit ribosomal RNA", at positions 524 to 776 of the family's 1533-position model. The record is from RNAcentral.
UACGGAGGGUGCAAGCAUUAAUCGGAUUUACUGGGCGUAAAGGGUGCGUAGGCGGAUUGGUAAGUCAGAUGUGAAAUUCCGGUACUCAAUACCGGAGCUGCAUUUGAAACUACCUUUCUAGAGGGUGGACGGAGAGAACGGAAUUCCAUAUGUAGCGGUGAAAUGCGUAGAUAUAUGGAAGAACACCUGUGGCGAAAGCGGUUCUCUAGUUUAUCACUGACGCUGAUGCACGAGAGUGUGGGGAGCAAACAGG